This is a long non-coding RNA of Lytechinus pictus (painted urchin), 4338 nucleotides long. RefSeq lists it as uncharacterized. The record is from RefSeq and is a predicted model, not a curated record. The transcript is spliced from 3 exons. NCBI's taxonomy places the organism in Eukaryota, Metazoa, Echinodermata, Echinoidea, Temnopleuroida, Toxopneustidae.
GAGAGAGCGCCAUCUAUCUAAAAGUAAACACGUCGUCAGCUUUGAUCAGCUAGCUAAUCUAUUCAGCGAUUAACUUUUGAUCUGCUCUGUGACUUUCAUUGCUAUGGUUUUGGAAUUGGAAUACCUCGAAAUUGUGCCUAACAAAGCGAAGUGAUUAUUUUUUUUACAUAGUUUACACAUUUUACACACUUGCACUGAACCAAGUGACAUUUAUAAUCAGGUUCAACAGUUUAUUCAGCUGUAACGUUAAGAUGGGUAAUUGCUUAUCAGGUGGAGAGCCUACACACAGAAGGAGUGGUGGUGGUGGGAAUGGAGGUGCGAAACAAACUAAGAUUCGUACACACAUGCUCUUUCCGCCAAAGACAUCUUCUGGUGCCAGUCCAAGAUCAUCACCACAGUCGCCAAGGAAACUCUGAUGAUGUUCUAGCAAAAUUUAAAGAUCUAAGCUUGCUACAUGUAGCUAUAUGCUUCUACAGCUACUGUAGGAUACAUUGGAUAGAAGCAAAUUUACCAAUUACUUCAUCUGAAGAAUGAAAGAGGAAAAUUCAAUGUGGUAAGUCUGUAGCUCAUUGACAACAAGCAGUGGAAAUGUGUCAUCACCAUGGCAACAAGAAUUGAACAACUCAUGCGAAUAGUUGACACUCUUGGUCUUCAAUUCUGAUAUUACUCUGUAUGUUUGUAUUCUUCAGGGAGUCGCUGUGGAGCAACAUAAAAGUCAUGAACAAAAAUACAAGACAUAAUAAUGCAUAGAUUAAAAUACAGUAUAUUGAAAUAUGUACAUACAUAUUUGGAUGUAAAUGUAUCCCAUUAGUCAUUUUGUGUUUUAUUGGAAUUUAAAUGUUAUGCAAAUAACUUAUGAUAAUUAAUCUUAGAAGAGUAGCUUCCAAUUGGUUAAUUCUGUAUUUGUAGUAUAAUGUGCAUAAAAAAUGAUUUGUUUUGUAUAUCAGAGCAAUAAUGAAUGGAAACUAUGUCCUGUAAUUCUCCUUCAAAGCUUUCAAUUAUAAAUAAUGAUAUAUAUCCUCUGCAUAAAUAACAAAGUCUGUUCCAAUAUAGAUGAAUAAUAUACCAAAUCUCCAGGGGUUUUUUAAUGGUGAAGGUUGUUUUCUGAGAGCAGUCAGUGGGAUAGCUACGGGUUAGUGAGCAUGGUUGUAACUUGAAGCUUGCUUAUUUCACAGCUUUGAAUACUCCAAACUCUGAGGCAAGAAUUCACGAAGGUAGUUUUGAAAACCAUCGGUUGAAACCAUGGUUUAUGCAGAUUUCCUGUAUAAAUUAUGCUCAAUUUACCAUGUAUAUUGAAAAUGUCCAAUGGUGGUGCAUGCUUUUGUCAAAUUGUGCCAGUAUUACCAUGGUUAAAUACGCUAUUUUAUUCACGAGUCCAAUGAUUCAAGAGUGGACUAAUGAAUAAAAUAGCGUGGAAAACCACGGCCCAACAGGCGUCACUGUGACGCAAGCGCUCAUCAGCAUUGGACAUUUUUUUAUAUACACGGUAAAUAAGCUUAAUUUAUACAGGAAAUCUGCAUAAACCAUGGGUUCAACAGAUGGUUUUAAAAACCACUUUUGUGAAUCCGGGCCUGAAGGUUGUUUACAUCAGAGAUCAGAGAGUUCAACUUUUUAGCUAAUUUCAGCAAUUUGGGGUUUUGAUUUUCGGCUUUAUUUCAGCUGAUUUUUAGCUUUCCUCCAUAUGAAAGUACAUGUAUGAGAGCUUUUAAUUUCAGGUUUUUCCAACACAUUUAAGCUUUUUCAGUUCUAUUUAUUUGUGAUUACUCACACCCCUGUUGAAUUGAAAAAAGAUAGUUACCCUGAAUAUUUCUUAAUCCAAAAACUAAAUAAGGCUUAUGGCUUAUCAUUCUGAAGAGUUGACAAUCCAAAAAUAAUAAAGCUUUGUAUCUUUAGUUCAUUAGUUUAUUAUUUUGGUACUACAUGUAAUGUGCCUAAUUUUAUUUUGUACUUGAACCCUGCAGAAUGACAAACCUAAUUUUACAUGUAGCUGAGUUGUCACAUUCACUUUGGAUACUGGUUAUGAAGGCCAGUGCGUCUAAUACCACUCAUAAAAGCAGAGAGAUUAUUAAAAAUGGUUUUAAACAUACUGAUACUGGAUAUUUUGUAUUUCAGGGUUAUUUUUAACUCUUCAAAGAAAGAAAGUCACAUUCACUUUGGAUACUGGUUAUGAAGGCCAGUGCGUCUAAUACCACUCAUAAAAGCAGAGAGAUUAUUAAAAAUGGUUUUAAACAUACUGAUACUGGAUAUUUUGUAUUUCAGGGUUAUUUUUAACUCUUCAAAGAAAGAAAUUUAAGAGAAAUGCUAGAAAAAAUAGAUUAAAUUUGACUAUUUUUAAUAAUUGUACACAGUUUUGAAAGUUCCCUUUUACAUACAAGCUAGGAAAGAAAAAUACUAAUUUGUAAUUGAUGUACAGUGUACUAUGUUGAAUUUUAGGCAAUAGGUUGAAAAUUUUGUCAUUUCUCUUUAAUAUAACAUUUACAAAAAAGGAGAUUGAUUCCAUUGCCAUCUCUGUUUGAUUUGUUGAUUUUCCCUCAAUUAUAUUUAUUUGAAAAAAUGAUAUAUACAUUACAUACAUGUAGGCAUAUACAAAUUUUUCUUAUUUUCAAACUUUGGCUCUCUUGUAUUUAGUUCUUUGAAUAUCUAAACAGACAUAAAUUUCAACUUCUUGUCAGUUGAUGGAAAUUAUGAGAGAGGAAGAGUGCUUUAUCGAAAAAGACAAAUUUCCUUUGAAAUGACCAAAAAGUGACCAUCCAUUAUUUAUGUUCCAUUGAAAAGUGUAUAAAAUAUUGGGAAAUUGACGGAGAAUCAUUUGUAACAUAGCAUAUCUUAUUCAUAAGAGUGUGGAAGUUAGUGGAACUGUGUACAGGUUUAUAUUCAUCAUGUAAAUUAUAUAUUAUCAUAAUUUACCUUGUCCAUAACAAACAAUACUUUAUUUCUGAGGUAUUGUAAAAAAUAAUUGAAUGAAAUCCAGUAAUUAGAUUCAUGUAUAUUUUUCAGGUUGUUUUUGGUUACCUUUGGUUUGUAAUUUACCCAACAUUCUUAACAUUCAUGACAUAUUCUUGGACUUAUAUGUAAUGAUUCUGACAAUUUGUAUUCCUUCUACUACAUGUAGUAUGAAAUUCAAUUCAUAUUUGCGUUAACAUUCAUUGUGUGUAAUAAUAUGCAUACAUGUGUGUACAGGAAAUAACUACAUAUGUCAUUGUGCCUCAUCCAAGUAAUUUUCUAAUUAGAGGCCUUGAUGAUGGUUGUUCAGAGCAAUAAGGACAUUCACUCCAUGUUUGAGAGUGGCUAAUACCUUUAAUGCUGUAAAGGGACAUUUUGGAUUAAUAUCCAACCUAUUGUUUUCUACUCAAUUGAUGGUAUGUGCAUGCCUUGAUAUGUGAAGAAUAUUAUCCAAAAGGAGCUAAAUCCACUUUACUAAUAUUUAUCUUAAUUUAUCACCUUCAUUAUACUAUCAUUGGAUGAAUAUCGCUACAAAUUUUGAAAUAUUAUUAAAUCAGACGUACCCUUCAAAUCCAUUAAUAUAUCUUUUCAAAGAAACAGUACAAAACACUUACAAAACCUACUGAAAAUCUAUAGGCUUACAUAUCUCUUUUUUAAGAAGAAACAAAAAAUGGAUUUAAUCCCUUUUAGAAACAAAUGCUGGAGUAUGUGCCCUCACAAAGGUCAUGUCCAGCUCAUCCAUUCUUUUAUUAGGAAUGCAUAGUAUUGGGAUGAAAGGUUAGCCUAAAUAUCUCUUGGCCAAUUACGUUUACAGUCCACAAUGUGGUUUUUUUUUUUUUAGUAACAAAAUGUACUAAAAAAAUGGAAUUUUGUUUAAAUGAACAGUUUAUCUUUAAUCUGAAAUAUAUGAAAGACAAUUCUUAUUUUGUGUAAUCAUAAUGUCAUAUUGAGAUUUGAGAAUGUUUUUCUUCACUCUUUUUGUUGUUAUAUACCUUUCUUAUUUUGAUCUCAAAGUGUCAGUUCUUUUGGUUUUUACAAAUGUUUUAGGGGAAGGGAUUCUUUGUCACAUGCAAAAGAGGCACAAAUUAUUCUGUCUUUACCAUUAAUUAAAAUAUGUUUGGGACUAUUUUGUUUUUUGUUAAAGGUUAGCUUGUAGACUAGUUAUAGUUUUGAAAUCAUAAUUUCAAUUCAGACAUCUCAAAAAAGGUAUUUUCCUUGAUGAGCCAUAUACCAAUAAGGGCUUAUUUAUCAUUCUCCGUCUCAAUACGCUUGCUUACAGCUCUUUUUCCCUUACAUAUCUGUUCUUAGUGUUGGGUGUGUCAUGUUUAUUUAAUGAGUAUUGUUUCAAUUAACUUGAAUCAAAAUAUUGUAGCGGUGACAAAGAAAACUGAAAUC